GAUGAACGCUGGCGGCGUGCCUAAUACAUGCAAGUCGAGCGAACAGACGAGGAGCUUGCUCCCCUGACGUUAGCAGCGGACGGGUGAGUAACACGUGGAUAACAUACCUAUAAGACUGGGAUAACAACGGGAGACAGGAGCUACUACCGGAUAAUAUAUUGAACCGCAUGGUUCACUAGUUAAAGUCGGUUUUUCUGACACUAAUAGACGGCUACGGGCCGGAUUCGUUAGUUGGUAAGGUAGAGGCUUACCAACGCAGCGAGGGUAAGCCGACCUCAACGGGAGGACGGCCACAUGGGAAGUGAGACACGGUCCAGACUCCGACGGGAGGCAACAGUAGGGAAUCUUACGCGAGGGACGAAAGCCUGACAUAGCAACGCCGCGGGAGUGAUGAAGGUCUACGGCUGCGUAAGCUCUGAAAUUAGGAGAGUAGAAAUGUGUAAGUAACUAUGCACGUCUUGACGGUACCGAAUCAGAAAGCCACGGCUAACUACGUG
RNAcentral lists this ribosomal RNA (497 nucleotides) under uncultured bacterium. RNAcentral describes it as "partial 16S ribosomal RNA". It matches the Rfam family "Bacterial small subunit ribosomal RNA", at positions 28 to 507 of the family's 1533-position model. The record is from RNAcentral.